GGUCCCUUCGUCUAUUGGCUAGGACGUGGCCCUCUCAAGGCUAAAAGACGGGUUCAAUUCCCGUAGGGACCG
Molecule: transfer RNA, 72 nt
Filed under: Treponema bryantii
Lineage: Bacteria; Pseudomonadati; Spirochaetota; Spirochaetia; Treponematales; Treponemataceae
Also listed under: 1 other name
Description: tRNA-Glu
Rfam family: tRNA
About the family: Transfer RNA (tRNA) molecules are approximately 80 nucleotides in length.
Source: RNAcentral